Molecule: transfer RNA, 85 nt
Filed under: Felis catus (domestic cat)
Lineage: Eukaryota; Metazoa; Chordata; Mammalia; Carnivora; Felidae
Rfam family: tRNA
About the family: Transfer RNA (tRNA) molecules are approximately 80 nucleotides in length. Their secondary structure includes four short double-helical elements and three loops (D, anti-codon, and T loops).
Source: Rfam by way of RNAcentral
GCCUGGGUGGCUCAGUCGAUUGAGCCUCUGACUUUGGCUCAGGUCAUGAGCUCACGGUUCGUGAGUUCAAGCCCCACAUUGGGCU